This 517-nucleotide ribosomal RNA is filed under the name uncultured bacterium. Its description in RNAcentral is "bacterial SSU rRNA". It matches the Rfam family "Bacterial small subunit ribosomal RNA", at positions 997 to 1509 of the family's 1533-position model. The record is from RNAcentral.
UUUCCAGAGAUUGGAUUGGGUGGCCUUUCGGGAACUUUAGAUACAGGUGCUGCAUGGCUGUCGUCAGCUCGUGUCGUGAGAUGUUGGGUUAACGUCCGCAACGAGCGCAACCCUUUUCCUAUUUGCCAGCGGGUAAUGCCGGGAACUUUAAGGAUACUGCCAGUGACAAACUGGAGGAAGGCGGGGACGACGUCAAGUCAUCAUGGCCCUUACGGCCAGGGCUACACACGUGCUACAAUGGUCGGUACAAAGGGUUGCUACCUCGCGAGAGGAUGCUAAUCUCAAAAAGCCGAUCGUAGUCCGGAUCGCAGUCUGCAACUCGACUGCGUGAAGUCGGAAUCGCUAGUAAUCGCGGAUCAGAAUGCCGCGGUGAAUACGUUCCCGGGCCUUGUACACACCGCCCGUCACACCAUGGGAGUUUGUUGCACCAGAAGUAGGUAGUCUAACCGCAAGGAGGACGCUUACCACGGUGUGGCCGAUGACUGGGGUGAAGUCGUAACAAGGUAGGCGUAGAUGA